UUCCAAGAGGUGCUUAUUACAAGGGGAGGUUCUGUUGAUUGUAAUGCUCCUCCUAUCUUCAGCAAUGGCAUCGAUGGAUGUCGUCAGAAGGUCUUCCAAGCUUCAUUCAUCUUAUGAUGAAAAGGGUAGGGAACUCAUUCCUGAACCUCAAAAAGAGGAUCUUCCUCGACAAAACAAUUUUCAAUCUCCAAGUCCUCCUCCAAUACAUAGUAAGGAUGAUCCUAUAGGACACAAUUAU
This is a non-coding RNA of Theobroma umbraticum, 238 nucleotides long. Lineage: Eukaryota; Viridiplantae; Streptophyta; Magnoliopsida; Malvales; Malvaceae. The record is from RefSeq and is a predicted model, not a curated record.